Molecule: ribosomal RNA, 561 nt
Filed under: uncultured bacterium
Lineage: Bacteria
Description: bacterial SSU rRNA
Rfam family: Bacterial small subunit ribosomal RNA
Source: RNAcentral
CCUACGGGAGGCAGCAGUGGGGAAUAUUGGACAAUGGGCGAAAGCCUGAUCCAGCAAUGCCGCGUGAGUGAUGAAGGCCUUAGGGUUGUAAAGCUCUUUUACCCGGGAUGAUAAUGACAGUACCGGGAGAAUAAGCUCCGGCUAACUCCGUGCCAGCAGCCGCGGUAAUACGGAGGGAGCUAGCGUUGUUCGGAAUUACUGGGCGUAAAGCGUACGUAGGCGGUUAUUCAAGUCAGAGGUGAAAGCCUGGAGCUCAACUCCAGAACUGCCUUUGAAACUAGGUAGCUAGAAUCUUGGAGAGGUUAGUGGAAUUCCGAGUGUAGAGGUGAAAUUCGUAGAUAUUCGGAAGAACACCAGUGGCGAAGGCGACUAACUGGACAAGUAUUGACGCUGAGGUACGAAAGCGUGGGGAGCAAACAGGAUUAGAUACCCUGGUAGUCCACGCCGUAAACGAUGAUAACUAGCUGUUCGGGCUCUACGAGCUUGAGUGGCGCAGCUAACGCAUUAAGUUAUCCGCCUGGGGAGUACGGUCGCAAGAUUAAAACUUAAAGGAAUUGACGG